UGUUGUGUGUCUUGAAUAUGCAAUUUUAUGCAAAUUUCUUGUAUGCACAGAAAGAAUGAAGCAAAGUAGUCUCUUAAUGUCCAGCCCUCCAUCCCUCAGGCUUCACAGUAGGAUCCUCACUUUUGGAACUGGAAUAUAACAUUAUGUUUCACUGCUUUUCUGAUUUUUGAGGAAGUGAGCAUGGAUUAACAGUUAAACGAUGCAAAUCUGCACUCUGACUGGCUUCUAGGUAUGUAAUUUACAGCAAACCUGAUGCUAGAAUCUCUAGUUUUUACAACAUUCAGAUGCAGAGCACAGGAGGCAGCAGAGACUAUACACAGAGAGCAGCAGGUAGAGGAGGGGCAGAGCAGCAGGCAUCUGCUACACUCUGGGACAGGUGGUCUGGAGCAAAUAAAUGGAUUGUUUUGACAUUUUUACUUAGGUACGAGGAAGGUGAGUGCAGGGAGUAGAAAGAGCAGAGAUAUCUGGACUGAGAACCAUAAAAGCUUGGAAAAGACCACUAAGACUACCUAACUGAACUAUCAACCCACCACCACCACCUUGCCCACUAAACCGUGUCCCUCCAUUCCACAUUUACACAUCAUCUCCAGGGACAGCGACUUCACCACCUCCCUGAAUUUGGGGUUUGGAAUGAAAGAGGAAUUGGUGCAGUAUGAGAAGAAACACCUACAAUAAGUUCUCAGAAGCUGUAGCAAAUGUGUGCUCAUAACAAAGUUCACAAGGGCAUCGAGUAUUAGUGCUACACAGGCAAUAUCAGAUUGAUGCAGAAGUCUACUUGAAUGGACAUCUUUGAAGAUUUUCUGACUUCAGAGACGUAUUUUUUUCUUAAUUUUUUUUAAUUUGUUUUUUUUUCCCCUCUAAAUAUUAAUUAUUUUCUUUUUCUGAUACCUCUACCGACAUUUUUUUUUUGUGUGUGUGUGCCUGUAGAAAGUAAGGAAAUAUAUAAGAUUCUGGAAGCCAGCAAAGUUGCUGAAGGAUUUGAGGUGAGGAAGUCUUAGGAUCAGAGUAACAAAAAUGAUCGUUUUCCAUCUAGAUAUUAGGGAUAGCCUACCCUGCAAUCUUGUCUGAGAGGUAUAAUAGAAAAGUCUGUUAAUUCUAACUAAAAUGCUUGUAGCCAAAUCAUAGCUAUGACGGUUUUAAAAGGCGGCAAGUUCCUACUGAAAUUGUUUAAAACUUGACAAACCAAAUUAACAUGAAUAGCAAAUAGAAUUGUUUCUCUGCUAAGGACUUAUUUGCUGUGUAUUUCACCGAGUAGGCGUUAAUCUUAAGUAUUUU
This 1275-nucleotide long non-coding RNA is filed under the name Gallus gallus (chicken). Its description in RNAcentral is "lncRNA (ENSGALG00010004926.1)". Lineage: Eukaryota; Metazoa; Chordata; Aves; Galliformes; Phasianidae. The record is from RNAcentral.